CUACGGGAGGCAGCAGUGGGGGAUAUUGCACAAUGGAGGAAACCCUGAUGCAGCAACGCCGCGUGAGGGAAGAAGGUUUUCGGAUUGUAAACCUCUGUCCUUGGGGAAGAUAAUGACGGUAGCCAAGGAGGAAGCUCCGGCUAACUACGUGCCAGCAGCCGCGGUAAU
Molecule: ribosomal RNA, 168 nt
Filed under: uncultured bacterium
Lineage: Bacteria
Description: partial 16S ribosomal RNA
Rfam family: Bacterial small subunit ribosomal RNA
Source: RNAcentral